UACAGAGGUCUCAAGCGUUGUUCGGAUUCAUUGGGCGUAAAGGGUGCGUAGGUGGCGGGGUAAGUCAGGUGUGAAAUUUCGGAGCUUAACUCCGAAACUGCAUUUGAUACUGCCUUGCUUGAGGACUGGAGAGGAGACUGGAAUUCAUGGUGUAGCAGUGAAAUGCGUAGAGAUCAUGAGGAAGACCAGUGGCGAAGGCGGGUCUCUGGACAGUUCCUGACACUGAGGCACGAAGGUUAGGGGAGCAAACGGG
This 253-nucleotide ribosomal RNA is filed under the name uncultured bacterium. RNAcentral's name for it is "partial 16S ribosomal RNA". It matches the Rfam family "Bacterial small subunit ribosomal RNA", at positions 524 to 776 of the family's 1533-position model. The record is from RNAcentral.